Anolis carolinensis (green anole) is the source of this 4330-nucleotide long non-coding RNA. RefSeq lists it as uncharacterized. NCBI's taxonomy places the organism in Eukaryota, Metazoa, Chordata, Lepidosauria, Squamata, Anolidae. The record is from RefSeq and is a predicted model, not a curated record. The transcript is spliced from 2 exons.
UUGGGGGGGGGGGGGGGGGUCCACUCUAAGCAGCUGGAAAGGCCAAAGCAUUGAAACGGGCAGGUGUUUGCCUAUUUAUUUUAAGUGAGAGCCAAGUGGAGAACAUAAACAGGCCCCAGGGAAGAUCAUUUCCAAGGCAAGUGGGGUUGAUGAAUGGUUGGUCGAGGCAACAUAGAGAAUGUAAUAUUUUGGGAUGCCAUUCCCUCCCCAGAAAUAAUCUACACCAGAAAGGUGCAUUUACAAACAUGUGCACACAAACACCCAAACAGGAGGAGGAGGGGGGGGGGUGAUACUGCUCUGUUGACAAAAUAUGCCUCCCCUGUGCCUCUAUCUAUGAGAAUUUCAAGGUCCCUAGAAGGAUAAUAUUAUUAUGAUGUUUAUGUUAUGUUUAUCAUAUUUAUUUAUGUUCUCCCUUUUCUCCACAAAGGAGAAUCAAAGGGCAGCUCGGCAUGGCUGCCUGAUGUUCUAGGGCUGCCUCUGAACCUCCUUAAAGUGAAAGGGAUGGAGAGCUAAAGAGGCAAGGAGGCCGGGGAGAAGCAGCCCAGGUCAAAGGCCUCCAGGAGGAAGGGCUGUGAGUGCGAAACACGCAACAGGAACCGAGGCUUUAAAAACAGUUCUUUACAACUAGGGCGAAUGAAGCCUGCCAUGGCUGCUCUCUCCAUCCCCUUUGUCUCCUGGUGCCAAGGCCUAUGGGUGAAUCCUACCGAUGGGCCUGUGCUUGUUGGGCCCCCUUGGUCUGCCCCAUUGCGGAGGCCCCUUCCCCAGCUGGGAAGAGGAAUCCCUAACCGAUCCAUCCCUGGCAUUUCAAUGGCUGCACGUUCAGUAAAUGAAUGACUUGGGCAGAAGGCUGCAAAAAUCCACUCCCUUCCCUUCCGCGUGUUUGCUCCACCCUCCACAGACACCAUCAGGGAAGAUUACUGUUCUGAGCAUUUUUCAUAAUCUAUUUUUAUUAAACACUAAUGCCAUUGCAAAGGAAAUGAACCAAAACAAAUCUUUUGCAGGGAGGUAGUUUUCUUUAAGAUGCAUUUUGGCGGGGAUUAGGAGGUCAGCAAAGGCACCCACACAGAUGCCCCCAAGGGAGGGGCCAGAGGGGGGGGUUGCAGCUGGACUUGAGGGGAGUGGGCGCUGAAGAGGGGGUCACCACAUAGAGGACCCUUCCUCUGGCCUAACUGGAGCCAGUCCGCUCAGUCAGACCCGAAUGGGAACUCCGGCUUGGCCUGGCCAGAUCGGCCAUUGCAAUGGUUCUAUGUUCUGCCUGGAACAAAAGGUGUCCAGAUGAGCCUUCCAAGCAGCUGGGACACUGCAGUCUGAGGACAUCUCACUGAUACCACAACAGAUCUUCAAGGAUGGCUCGAUUGUUCCAUUUCUCUGAUUUCUCAUUCUCAAGUUCAUCAGGCCCAAUGGCCUUUUUAGUUGUUUCCGAGUUUCCAGAGCUUUGUUCACCUCUCUUCAGAUUUGACGGUGUCUCUUGGCCUCACCUUCAGCUGACUCUUGACCCUUCCAUAGGAAACCUUGGUGCCCAUUGGCCGGAUGCUGGCUGCUCCCCCUGAGUGGCCCAGGCUUCCUGUGGAGAACAUUCCUGUGGGCCGGGCUGUGGCGCAGGCUGUUGAGCAACCAGCAGCAACAAAUCACUCUGACCAAGAGGUCAUGAGUUCGAGGCCAGCUCGGAGCCUGCGUUUGUCGCUGUCUUUGUUCUAUGUUAUGGCAUUGAAUGUUUGCCUUAUAUGUGUAAUGUGAUCCGCCCUGAGUCCCCUUCGGGGUGAGAAGGGCGGAAUAUAAAUACUGUAAACAAAUAAACAUUUGGGAACUCCAAAUCACUGGAGAGCAGCUACUGCGGGCUCUGAUGUGGGCCACAGGGCCCUUCCCUGCACAAAUGCCAGCAGCCUUGGAGGGCUUUCAUGGGGAGCCCCAUAUGGGCACAUGCACUGGCAUCAGUAUUGCAUGAGGGGUGGGCUGCUUCUAGUGCAGGCUUGGGCAAGCUUCAGCCCUCCCACUGGCUGUUAGAAAUUGUGGGAGGGCCAAAGUUUGCCCAUGCCUGUUCUACUGCAUGGCUAGGAACAUGGUGGGGAGGGGGCUUUUCCCAUAACCCCCCCUUCCCUUGUGACCCUGAGCUAGGGCUAAAUGAGCCUGCAUGUCAGAAAAGACGUUGCCGAGCCCAAGCAGAUGUCACCGAGGUCAUGCUGGCCACAGGGUGGGCGCACCCUCCCACACAUGGCACCCUCCCCUUGCCACAGAUCCUGGCAUGGAGGGAAAAGGAGCCCCCCACAUCCCACAGAAGAGCUUUCCCCCUAAAACUGACACAACCAAUAAAGGCAAAUAUAGCUUAGCUUUGCACAAAAAGGGGGGGGGAGAGGAGAGUAAUUUGACUGUGAGAGACAACAUUUCCUUUUCUGCCUAAUCCCCCUCAUGACAGAAGCACUUUCCUAUCAGUGAUUAUUUCUCAAUCUCAGCACUAAACAGGGAAGCAUGAUGUUAUCUCCUCAGCUGGGAGCAGCUCUUUGUGCUUGGAAAAUAUGGGAAGAAGGGCACCCUCUUGAAUGGGUCUGGCCACGUGAUCCAGCUGCCAACCUUGUGGCCUGGGAAUAUGCCCAUAACAUCUAGACUGCAGCCUAAUCUAGCAUACAGGGAAUAAUAUAUCAAAACAAGUCUCUUAUCAGCCUACUACUGCAACACAACAUAGGUUGGAAACAAGCAUAUGUUCAAAUUGAAAGGGGAUUUGCCACCAUGGCUUUGCUCUGAGGCUGAGAGCAUGUGACUUGCCCAAGGCCACCUGGUGGGUUUCCAUCUCCAAGCAGGGCUCUAAACCCUGGCCUCCAGUCGUUCUCCAUGGCUGGAUCCACUCGCUGCUCCACACUGGCUCUCUCCAACAGAGUCAACCACAAAAAACCCUCAGAGCCAUUGCAUGGGAAGGUAACAGGUAGCCCAAAUGUUCCACUGCGCACAGCGGGAAGACUUCAGAGAACAAUCAUUGUCGUGAUUGGCUUGAGUUAGACAGAGAUAGUGGAAAUCUUGCUUUGAUUUUUGAUUUUGAGAACUGACAGUGGAUGAGGCUAAAGAGGAGAUUAAAAGCACUGAAGGUCAAGCGGCAGCUGAGGCCGUGCUGCAGUUUGGAUGGCGCAGGCGCCCUUCCUGAUAAAGUGACCCUUUAGCCCAAUGUGCCACCCAUUAAGGCUGUUAUGGUUGAGCCUUCGGGCUCCGGUAAUAGAAGAAGGGGUCGUAAGACUCCUCGAGAGUCAGACUCCUUCGAGGAGCGUGAAAGAAAGCGGCUCCGGGAUUUGUUUGCAGAACCGACAGAUGAGGACUCAUUUGAGGGUUUUUCUGAGGGUUUGGAGGAAGAGAUGGCCAGCUCGGAGGACGACGACAUGGAAUGGACUCGUGUGAGGGAGGAUUUGGGUGUUGGGGAAACAGGCAAUGAAAACAUGGGAGGUGAUUGGCGGGUUGCAGGAUCAGACCCAUGGACUGGCUGGAGGGAUGGAGCGGGAUCCACAGCUGGGGAUGCUGUGGGGCGUAGUCAAAGGUGCUUAAGCUCUGAUGAGGAUGAUGAUGUUGGGGCGCCUGGAAUUGGGAUGACAGCUGACAGCGAUGAUGAGCUUGAAUUGGGAUAAAAUGGGGUUUGGGAUCAAUGUCUAAUUGCGUUGGGCAAGGUAAUCUGGACGGACGCUUGGGCUUUUGUUGGGGAACUUCCUGAAGACGGGUGUGCUUCGUUACUGGAUACGUAAGUUUACCAAGGACACUGGGCAUCGACGGCGGGAGGAACUGUGCGGGGUUUUUCUCUGUGCAACUUGUGUUUAAUCUCGAUAGCUUGGACCUCCGUCAUCUUUUUGACGGGCAAUACCUACUCACACUGGAUUGACGCUGGACUGACUGACUUCGAUUCCGGAUUAUCCCUUCUGCUGGCUAUCGGUGAGACCUUUGGAUUCCUUGACGACUACGCUUAGCUAAAGACCUCUGGACCGGAUUGGGACCCUGCUGACUGCCGUUACCCUGACUACGACCACGCUUUUCGUUCGCUGCAGGAAGGAAUAAACAAGCCUGGUUUAUUCCCCUGCUGUUUCUGAAUAGCAGAGAGGAAUCUGCCACCAGUCUGUUGUUUACAUUCUCACUCCUGCUGAUUCUCUUUUGUUUGCAUUGUUUGCCAGGCUGAAGUAAGCACUUUUGAUUUAAUCCGGAUUAUACUUCUGUUUAACCCGGUUUAUCCAUUUGAACUAUUUAAGCUCAAACUGAGCUGUUUUUUGUUACUUAUCACACUGAAGUCAAGUGUUUGCCCUGUUCUUUGUUUCCUACGGGCAUUUUUUAGUUCUGUAACCUCAAUAAACUGAGUUUUGUUUUA